Molecule: long non-coding RNA, 5335 nt
Organism: Leopardus geoffroyi (Geoffroy's cat)
Lineage: Eukaryota; Metazoa; Chordata; Mammalia; Carnivora; Felidae
Exons: 4
Source: RefSeq, a predicted model, not a curated record
CAGUAUGAGUACAAAUAGUAAAUUCAAGCUAAUAAUGUAGAAUUUUCAUUUUUCUUUACUUAUACUACUACUGAGCCAAAAAAUUUUAAAUACCAUAACAAAGUAAGAGACAAACUGUGGAGGAAAGAACAAGCUUUGUAUUUUAGGACCUUUAAUGGUGCUUUUUACUGCAUUUUGAACAAGAGGUCCCAGAUUUUCAUUUUGCAGUAGACCCUGCCAAUUACGCAGCCAGCCCCACCUGUGAUUGCAGCAGCCGUCAAUUCAAGUGGCUUUGGGACAUUUGGUGGUAACUUGAUGGAGGCAGUGGCGAAGGCUGAGAAACUGCACAAACAUCACUGAAGGCGACACAGAAGAAAGGGGUCUGGAAGGGAGGUGGGGGCAUUGACUAGUAGCCUUUAGCAGUGCCCCUUGUGCAGCUUUCCGGGAAUGGCAGGGACAGCAUCACUAAAGAGAGAUGCUUAGUGUAAAGAGGCAGGUUCAUCCCUUUAAACUGCAUGGAUUUCUCUGCAAUUUAGUGCUGAGAAGUGAUGUUAGAGAAAGGCUCUUUUCUCAUAUGAUUGCUGAUAACCUUCUGUCUAUUACUCGAGCUCACUACUUGGAUGUAUUUGUGCAGCAAAGCUGAGCCCUUCCUCUCAGGAAACCCAGGGAACAGCGUGAUAGAUCAAUUGAUUUGUCAAGCCCCAGCAGACAGAAACAAUUUCCUUGGCUAGACUUGGCUAAUGCAGAUGGCCGGCUCCUUCACCCUUAGCACACCUCAGCCUGGCCACGGAUAAUGUUUCUGGGAGGAUGUCACAGUCUCCCUGGAAAGCUCUGGGCUCUUCCUCUAGGCAUUUGAAAGAGAAGAUAGCACAGCGCAGCACCAGCCUGAGAAAACCAUUAGCGUAACUUGGGUGUGCCUGGGAGAACAGAUUAGGUUGUAAGGUGCCUGCUGGUAGUCCCAUUGAAAUCUGAUCCUGCCUUCCGUUCCUGUGGUGUCAACCACCAGCACACCUGAGGCUCAAGGUGGAGAGAAGACAAAGAACAUACCAGCCAAAUGCCAGUUCUUUAUACUUGCAGCACUGACUUCUAGCCUCUGUCUGAUAAACUGAGAUUGUGUUGUCAAGAAGCACAUGACUUUGGUACCUUAGCAGAUUCUCUCCUUACUGAUUUUACUGCUUUGAAGGCAGGGAGGAGAAGAGGAGAGCCUCCCACCCAUCCUCUACAGAUACUCGUAUCAUUCUUCACAUUAAAUGCUCCAACCAUCUCUAGUCCCGUGCAGGUGGGCAUGGGGUGGGGAAGGGCUUGAGAACUCUGUUACAGGCAUUCCGAAAACCACAGUAGGGUUGGAGUUCCCUGCUUCCGCACAGCCAUUUGCCCUCCAUCUCUUUAGUCCCUGGAGUACCUUCCCUACUUCAUUGGCUAGUGUUCAUCAAAUCCAUUUCUUCUUUUUCCUGGCUACACAGGUAGGACCACAUUUCCCAGCCUCUCUUGCUGUAAGUUGUAGCCAUGCAACGGGGUUCUAGCCAAUAGAAUGAGAGCAGAAGUCAUCAGUGUCACUUCUAGGCCUGAGCCAACAGACCUCUUUCCCUUGUGCAGACUGAUGCAGAGGACCACAGCACCAAGAGAGCUGAGUGAUAAAGGUGGUUGGGCCACAAUAAAGAAGCGAUCCUGGUCCUUUCAUCUCCACUUGAAGGAUAGCCACCCUUCAAUCAUCAGGAAUUUCCAUUCUGGAAAGGGAGAGAUGAACUCUUAUUAUAUCUAGGGGUUGUUUCAGCAGCCAGGGUUAUCAUAACCAAUAACAACUGACUUCCAAUAAUAGCGUUCAUCCUCCUGGGGACUUAGCCACAGACAUUAACUGUUCAGAUGUCCUCCAGCCGUCUGGAGACUCCCUGAUCUUUGUUUGAUAUUUCAUUUUAAAGGCUGAAAUUCCUUCAUACUUUAGGGGGAAAUCAUGGCCCUCCUCUUCCCACCUCCAUCCCUACCAGCAUCUCCUGGGGUUCCUGAAAGACUUACUUUUCUCCUGAUCACAUCUUGCUCUGACAUCACACAGGUGAGCAAGGACAUGAUGGGGUUCUUUGGUCUUUCGUGUUUCUUAGAGCACCAUUGUCUUCCUUCUGCAUUCAAAACAAGUUCUGGUUUGAGUGGAAGCCAUGGAAAUUGUUGGCUUGUUCUCUCUUUGAGUCCUGCUGAAGUCCCAUGCACCAGGGUCCACUGAAAUUCUGUACCAAUGGGGGUAUUGCAAACACUGACUGUGAAUGGGGAGGCAGAGAACAGUGGAUGUGUGUACUACACCUGUCUCCUGUGCUCAGGCACAGGCUCUAUUGUCCUAUCAGACUAACAAAACAGAGAUUCACAGAUAGGAUAUUAACCGUUUUAAGAGGAUGAAAGCAGAGCAUUAAAUCUCAAAAGGGAUUCUUUUCUCCUGGGCCCUUAUGUGACUGCACAGUUCACGAGCCUCUGAGUCUAACUCUGGAGAAGUACACCCCUUUUGUCCUUCCUCUCGCUGGCUGGCAGAGCAGGUGUGUGAGUCUGGGGGAAGAAGGGACAGAUCAGAGGGGAACAGAUGAAGACUGCAUGAUGUAAAACCUCUUUCUGAUUCUUCCACUGGAAUCAUCUGCGAUGAUGUUUGUGAACUGGAUUUUCCUUUGGGGAAUGUAAUUAAGUGUUGCAUCAUGCGUCAGGCCUCUUGUGGAACAAAAGUAGAGCCAAAAGAUGGGGCAUUGAUGUGCAGGUUACAUGUGCAGAUGUGGGGCUAGGGAUGCGCACACAACAAACAACUUUGAAUAAUUGAACCAUGUUCUUUAACAUCCUUUGUCUGACCUGCCACUGGGAACUUUUCUCUGGUGUGGACUCUCCCAAAUCCUGCCUCCUGGCCUCUCUGGGUCCUCAUUCUCUCCAUUAACCCCCUACCCCCAUUGCCUUUGGAAGUGCAAAAUGUUUUCUACUUUAUUUGCAGGGCAGUUAUUUCUACUUCUGAUUGAUCCUGAUCUAAUAGGCCAAACUAUGCUACCAAGUUAAUUGCUGAAGGAAAUAAAAACAAAACGACAAGCAAAAACGUGGCUUAUUUCCUUUAAGAAUUUGGCUGCCAGUAUUUACAUAAUUAUUUUUCUCCCAAAUACUCUAGUAACAGACUUUCUUGACAUGGUUUUAAAACCCUCAGAAAUACAUCCCUGCCUCCCUAGGUGAGUGUGGAGACUCUUCCUCUGGUCUCCUAUAAAAUCUUGUGCAUAUCAUAUAUAUACCUACAUAUACAUAUAGUCAAAAAUCAACAAAGCCAGAUGUUAAAAUGCUAAAAUAGAUUUUAUUCAGCAACUAUUGAUAGCUGAGAAAGAGCUGAGCUCCCUUCCAAUUUGUGCAGUGAUGACUGGGCACUUCAAAGUGGAAUGAGGGAAUCGGGAGAGGGGUGGUCAGGGAUGUGAAAAAUUACAACAGGUUGGUCAGUUAAAUGCAUCAAGUCAGCUGUGUUUGUUGGCUGGUAAUUGAGGCUGACAAAUGAGGAUUCUGUCCUCCCACAGAAACUGGGGGACAGAGGCCCUAUUCUUCCUGAUGAUUACAUUCCAGAGAAAUCGCUUUCAGGUCCUUGAGAAAGAUGCCACUGCCACAUAUUGUCAAUUGUAAGCCCUUUGUAGUAAAUUGUUAAGCAAGGCAUCUCAUGUGUACAGUCUGCUCAGCCACAUAAGGAAGGUCCCUGGGCCUGGAACAGUCCUUACCGGGAGAUAAGGGGCCCACACAGUCUGCACUGGGCUUGUCAUCUUGUGUGGGAAUAUCUUUCCCUGUUUCAGGUGGAAUGUGCUCCUUCUGCGUCAGCAUGUGUCAGCCAUCCUCAGGCACACCUUCAGCCUUCAGUAUUUCCAGCUCCAGGGGAAGAGUGGAGGCCCUUCCACCGCAGCAAAAGAUAGUUUCCAAGUGGAAUCCAAGCACAUCCUACCUAGGUGCUCCGCUUGUGGUCUCCUAGGGCUACAAUCCAGAACUACAAGACCGUUUCUCUCACCCCGAACCCACCAGGAUGACCUGACCUGCAGUGCCCCAAACUUGUCCGUGUGGCAACAGUUUUGAUGCCACCGUCCAUCAGAGCAGUGCCUUCUCCAGGGACUAAUUCACCAGAGGCUGCAAGAUCGUCUGCAGGAUGUGCAUCACUGGAGUCAAAGAAGUUGCUGAAAAUUGAAAACAGAACUUCCCGGGUCCUUUGAGUGAUCAACCAGCCUUGGGUGACCUGGCCCGUGCCUAGCUCUCCAGCCUCAGCCCUCUCUGACACCCUCCGACUUGACAUCUCGUGCUUGGGGCCCUGCCCGCAGCCCUGCAGCAGGAAACGUAAGCAGAGGCAAGUGGCAAACAGGACAGAAUCUGUAGCAUAUAUAAAAGUCCGACAGUUUUCAUGCAUAUGACAUAUAUAAACAGUUACUAUGGAUCAGUAAGCAAAUCAUGAGCUGUCCACAAAGAAAAAUCUAUAUAUAAACAGCCAUCCGAAAACAGAAAAAUACAUGUAGGGAGAAUAAACAUGAGGGAUAAAAGCCCAACCAUCAUAGUAACAAAAGAAAUACAAAUUAAAAGGGCAAUGAAUAUUUUCUGCCUUUGUAGGUGAAGGGGUGAAUUAAGACCUCUCCCAUGCGGCUGAUGAAGUGCAGAUUAGCAAAGAUUCCUCAUGGGAAACUUUACUGCAUGAAAAAAGUCUUUUAAAAUGUGUAAAACAGUGACUAAGCAAUUCCACUGGUACAAAUUUAUCCUGAGGAAAUAAUUAGUAGAUUAAGAAUUUUUUUCACUUUGGGGAUGUAUAUAUAACACAGUGUGGUUUCUAAUGGAGAAUACAUAGAAAUAAUCCAAAGUGCCAACAAUUGGGUACUUUUAAAGUAAAUUCCAUACAAUACACUACACGCAUCUAUUUAAAAGGGAAGUAUGGAAGUAUAACUGUUGACAUGAGACGGAUGUUUGUUCGUAAAUUUUUAAGAGAAAAAAGUUUAUAAAAAUAUGACACUAUUUUUUAUUUCAAAAAAGGUAUAUGUAUGAAAUGACAGGGAGAGUAUACACCAAACCAUAAACACUGGUUAUACCUAGAAUAGACUUGCUGGUGAAGAAAUUUGGGGGAAGCCUUUCUACAUUUUUCCAUCUUUGAACAAUAAUACUGAUUUAUUGGUAUAAUAAAAAGUAGUUUAAAAAUAACUCAAAUAAAAUUGCCGAACUUAGAGUUAUUUAUUGUUGAAGGAAUAGACUUGAGCAACUUAAUUUUAAAAAUAAAGCCAGCCAUUUACUUCAAUCCAGAAGACAUUUAUCCAUCUAAGAGCCAGGCGUGGUUGUGUGUUGGUGUAGGGAACACUGGUAAUUCACACAGUUGCUUAAAUAAACCUUGUUAAAUUACAAA